UUGUUUCUUCAUUUCGUGCUUGCAUUAAAAAAAAUGGGGUUUUAAGAGCAUUGUUUUUAGUUUAUAUCAUUUGCAUAUUUAAUUGUUGCAUCUUAAGAAAAUUCAAAAAAAAAUAUCCUUGUUAAUUUGUUUUCAUAUUUACUUUCCAUUUGUGUUAUUAUCAUUACAUAUUAUCUUCAUUUCGUGUUUGCUUUGAGAAAACCAAAAAAAAAAUCAUUUUGCAUAAUUAAUUUCAUUUCGG
Molecule: long non-coding RNA, 241 nt
Filed under: Brassica rapa (field mustard)
Lineage: Eukaryota; Viridiplantae; Streptophyta; Magnoliopsida; Brassicales; Brassicaceae
Description: long non-coding RNA (BRAP_LNC008497)
Source: RNAcentral